CCUCUCUUCUUCUCUCUCUAAAAUGCCAAGGGUUGAGAGAAAUGAGGGAAAGAGAGAGAAGAAGGGCUCUCUAUAGGCUCUAAAGUAACAAAAUCCAGAUAAGCCCCUCAAAAAUCCAAAAUCACAUCAGCCCGGUCUGAGCAGUUUUCGCCCAGAGGGACCGAUCUCCCCGACCUGGGACCGGUCUCUCAGCCUGCCCCCGAAAAUCCAACGUUCGGGAACCGGUCUCUCCCUGCGCGGGACCGGUCUCUCCCCGCGCAGACGCGCUCGGGGACCGGUCUCAACUGCCAGGGACCGGUUGCCUCGCCGGCUACGCAGCACUGUUCACUGGGGGACCGGUCUCUCCUAUCAGGGACCGGUCCCCGAGAGUAAAAACUCUCAGGACUCUGCCAAAACUCUCGAGAUCGAACUUUUAGGCCGUUAUACCAUCGACGGCCCUCCACCAAGUGUGGAAAAGUUCGG
Molecule: long non-coding RNA, 462 nt
Filed under: Ananas comosus (pineapple)
Lineage: Eukaryota; Viridiplantae; Streptophyta; Magnoliopsida; Poales; Bromeliaceae
Description: long non-coding RNA (ACOM_LNC039940)
Source: RNAcentral